AACGAACGCUGGCGGCGUGGAUAAGACAUGCAAGUCGAACGAUUAUCAUCGGGUAGCAAUAUUCGGUGGUGAGAGUGGCGCAAGGGUGCGUAACACGUGGGUAAUUUGCCAUGAAGUCUGGAAUAACUUGCUGAAAGGCGAGCUAAUACCGGAUGUGAUUUUUGGAAGGCAUCUUCUGAAACUCAAAGUCGGGGACCGCAAGGCCUGACGCUUCUUGAUAAGCCCGCGGCCUAUCAGCUAGUUGGUGAGGUAACGGCUCACCAAGGCUAAGACGGGUAGCUGGUCUGAGAGGACGACCAGCCUCACUGGAACUGAGACACGGUCCAGACACCUACGGGUGGCAG
RNAcentral lists this ribosomal RNA (344 nucleotides) under uncultured Verrucomicrobiota bacterium. RNAcentral's name for it is "bacterial SSU rRNA". It matches the Rfam family "Bacterial small subunit ribosomal RNA", at positions 29 to 351 of the family's 1533-position model. Lineage: Bacteria; Pseudomonadati; Verrucomicrobiota. The record is from RNAcentral.